Molecule: ribosomal RNA, 834 nt
Filed under: uncultured Alphaproteobacteria bacterium
Lineage: Bacteria; Pseudomonadati; Pseudomonadota; Alphaproteobacteria
Description: bacterial SSU rRNA
Rfam family: Bacterial small subunit ribosomal RNA
Source: RNAcentral
UCCAACUCUGUGAGCAUGCUGUUGGUGUGUGAGUCAAACUCAUGGUCCUGGCUCGCUGGUUGCCACUAGUGUUCCCCGGCAUUUCUUCUGCAGUGGGAACCUGCCCUCUCGUGGGGGAUCACCUAAGGUAACCUUAGAUACUGCCGCCAUAAUCCAGCUGUCUCGGCAGAGGUCUGCCGCGCGCAAGAUUUCUCUUCGACGAGUGAGGGGCCCUCGUACUAAUUAGCUUGUUGGUGGGGUAACGGCCUACCAAGGCGAUGAUCCGUAGCUGGUCUGAGAGGAUGAUCAGCCACACUGGGACUGAGACACGGCCCAGACUCCUACGGGAGGCAGCAGUGGGGAAUAUUGGACAAUGGGCGCAAGCCUGAUCCAGCAAUGCCGCGUGAGUGAGGAAGGCCUUAGGGUUGUAAAGCUCUUUCACCCGCGACGAUGAUGACGGUAGCGGGAGAAGAAGCCCCGGCUAACUUCGUGCCAGCAGCCGCGGUAAUACGAAGGGGGCGAGCGUUGUUCGGAUUUACUGGGCGUAAAGGGCGCGCAGGCGGCUUAUUUUGUCAGGCGUGAAAGCCCCGGGCUUAACCUGGGAACUGCGUUUGAUACGGAUGGGCUAGAGUUCGGGAGAGGAGAGUGGAAUUCCAGGUGUAGUGGUGAAAUACGUAGAGAUCUGGAGGAACACCGGUGGCGAAGGCGGCUAUCUGGCCUCACACUGACGCUCAGACCCGAAAGCGUGGGGAUCACACAGGAUUAGAUACCCUGGUAGUCCACGCCAUCAACGAUGGAUACUUGGUGUUGGUGGUAUUGACCCUAUCAGUGCCGUAGUUACGCGAUAAGUUCCCG